UGACCUCGGAUCAGGUAGGAUUACCCGCUGAACUUAAGCAUAUCAAUAAGCGGAGGAAAAGAAACCAACAGGGAUUGCCCCAGUAACGGCGAGUGAAGCGGCAACAGCUCAGAUUUGGAAUCUGGCCUUCGGGCCCGAGUUGUAAUCUGGAGAGGAUGCUUCUGGCGCGGUGCCUUCCGAGUUCCCUGGAACGGGACGCCGGAGAGGGUGAGAGCCCCGUACGGUUGGACACCUAGCCUUUGUGAAGCUCCUUCGACGAGUCGAGUAGUUUGGGAAUGCUGCUCAAAAUGGGAGGUAAAUUUCUUCUAAAGCUAAAUAUUGGCCAGAGACCGAUAGCGCACAAGUAGAGUGAUCGAAAGAUGAAAAGCACUUUGAAAAGAGAGUUAAAAAGUACGUGAAAUUGUUGAAAGGGAAGCGCCCGUGGCCAGACUUGCGCCGCGCGGACCAUCCAGCGUUCUCGCUGGUGCACUCCGCGCGGCGCAGGCCAGCAUCGGUUUUCCUAGGGGGAUAAAGGUCGCGGGAACGUAGCUCCUCUGGGAGUGUUAUAGCCCGUGGCGUCAUGCCCCUGGGGGGACCGAGGACCGCGCUUCGGCAAGGAUGCUGGCGUAAUGGCACCGGCGACCCGUCUUGUUUU
RNAcentral lists this ribosomal RNA (634 nucleotides) under Grosmannia abiocarpa. RNAcentral describes it as "eukaryotic LSU rRNA". It matches the Rfam family "Eukaryotic large subunit ribosomal RNA", at positions 1 to 660 of the family's 3401-position model. The record is from RNAcentral. Lineage: Eukaryota; Fungi; Ascomycota; Sordariomycetes; Ophiostomatales; Ophiostomataceae.